UUCCAAGGAUGGGAAUCGAACCCACAAUGUUCCGCUUACCGGGCAGGUGCCAUGUCCACUAGGCUACCCUGGGA
Non-coding RNA from Cordylochernes scorpioides, 74 nucleotides. Lineage: Eukaryota; Metazoa; Arthropoda; Arachnida; Pseudoscorpiones; Chernetidae. The record is from the annotation of a GenBank genome assembly.